GACGAACGCUGGCGGCGUGCUUAACACAUGCAAGUCGAACGGAAAGGCCCUGCUUGCAGGGUGCUCGAGUGGCGAACGGGUGAGUAACACGUGGGUGAUCUGCCCCUUACUUUGGGAUAAGCCUGGUAAACUGGGUCUAAUACUGGAUAGGACCAUGCUGUAGGUGGCGUGGUGGAAAGAUUAGUUUCGGUAAGGGAUGAGCUCGCGGCCUAUCAGCUUGUUGGUGGGGUAAUGGCCUACCAAGGCGUCGACGGGUAGCCGGCCUGAGAGGGUGGACGGCCACAUUGGGACUGAGAUACGGCCCAGACUCCUACGGGAGGCAGCAGUGGGGAAUAUUGCACAAUGGGCGCAAGCCUGAUGCAGCGACGCCGCGUGGGGGAUGACGGCCUUCGGGUUGUAAACUCCUUUCAGCCAUGACGAAGCCCUUGUGGUGACGGUAGUGGUAGAAGAAGCACCGGCUAACUACGUG
This 469-nucleotide ribosomal RNA is filed under the name uncultured bacterium. RNAcentral describes it as "partial 16S ribosomal RNA". It matches the Rfam family "Bacterial small subunit ribosomal RNA", at positions 28 to 507 of the family's 1533-position model. The record is from RNAcentral.